This 730-nucleotide ribosomal RNA is filed under the name Enterococcus faecium. Its description in RNAcentral is "partial 23S ribosomal RNA". It matches the Rfam family "Bacterial large subunit ribosomal RNA", at positions 1141 to 1879 of the family's 2925-position model. Lineage: Bacteria; Bacillati; Bacillota; Bacilli; Lactobacillales; Enterococcaceae. The record is from RNAcentral.
CUCACUAGUCGAGUGACCCUGCGCCGAAAAUGUACCGGGGCUAAACAUAUUACCGAAGCUGUGGAGUACACCUUUAGGUGUAUUGGUAGGAGAGCGUUCUAAGGGCGUUGAAGGCAGAUCGUGAGGACUGCUGGAGCGCUUAGAAGUGAGAAUGCCGGUAUGAGUAGCGAAAGACAGGUGAGAAUCCUGUCCACCGAAUGACUAAGGUUUCCUGGGGAAGGCUCGUCCGCCCAGGGUUAGUCGGGACCUAAGCCGAGGCCGACAGGCGUAGGCGAUGGAUAACAGGUUGAUAUUCCUGUACCCGUUGUUUUUGUUUGAGCAAUGGAGGGACGCAGGAGGCUAAGGAAUGCAGACGAUCGGAAAUGUCUGUCCAAGCAGUAAGUCUGAAGAGGAGUCAAAUGCUUCUUUUCUUAAGGACAAGCUGUGAUGGGGAGGGAAAUAAUAGUACCGAAGUUCCUGAUGUCACACUGCCGAGAAAAGCUUCUAGUGAGAAAACAGCGGCCCGUACCGCAAACCGACACAGGUAGUCGAGGAGAGAAUCCUAAGGUGAGCGAGAGAACUCUCGUUAAGGAACUCGGCAAAAUGACCCCGUAACUUCGGGAGAAGGGGUGCUGAUCAUACGAUCAGCCGCAGUGAAUAGGCCCAAGCGACUGUUUAUCAAAAACACAGGUCUCUGCAAAAUCGUAAGAUGAAGUAUAGGGGCUGACGCCUGCCCGGUGCUGGAAGGUUA